This 254-nucleotide ribosomal RNA is filed under the name uncultured bacterium. Its description in RNAcentral is "partial 16S ribosomal RNA". It matches the Rfam family "Bacterial small subunit ribosomal RNA", at positions 524 to 776 of the family's 1533-position model. The record is from RNAcentral.
UACGUAGGGUGCAAGCGUUAAUCGGAAUUACUGGGCGUAAAGCGUGCGCAGGCGGUUUGUAAGUUUGUCGUGAAAUCCCCGGGCUCAACCUGGGAAUGGCGAUGAAGACUGCAAGGCUAGAGUUUGGCAGAGGGGGGUAGAAUUCCACGUGUAGCAGUGGAAAUGCGUAGAUAUGAUGGAGGAACACCGAUGGCGAAGGCAGCCCCUGGGUCAAAACCUGACGCUCAUGCACGAAAGCGUGGGGAGCAAACAGG